CUAUUUCCCUGGCAGGGGAAAUACCAUGACCACUAAGGUGGUUUUCCUACUGGCAGGGGAAAACCAGGGAGUAGUACCCUGAGUACAUUUCAUAGUUUCAUAGUUUCUAGGGUCAGAAGGGACCUGAGC
This 129-nucleotide small nuclear RNA is filed under the name Crocodylus porosus (Australian saltwater crocodile). RNAcentral's name for it is "U1 spliceosomal RNA (ENSCPRG00005001939.1)". Lineage: Eukaryota; Metazoa; Chordata; Crocodylia; Crocodylidae. The record is from RNAcentral.